Molecule: non-coding RNA, 80 nt
Organism: Podarcis lilfordi (Lilford's wall lizard)
Lineage: Eukaryota; Metazoa; Chordata; Lepidosauria; Squamata; Lacertidae
Source: the annotation of a GenBank genome assembly
GGCUGGACUGUGGCUCAGAGGCAGAGCAUGUGCUUUACAUGCAAAGGGUUCCUGGUUCAGUCCUUGGCACCUCCCAGUCA